Molecule: long non-coding RNA, 547 nt
Filed under: Cyclopterus lumpus (lumpfish)
Lineage: Eukaryota; Metazoa; Chordata; Actinopteri; Perciformes; Cyclopteridae
Description: lncRNA (ENSCLMG00005014240.1)
Source: RNAcentral
CCUCCUCCACCCGGUGAGGUCAGAUCAGCCCGGGGGGCGGCGCAGAGAGCUACCUGGCUUCCUCAGAGAGAGAGAGAGAGAGAGAGAGAGAGAGAGAGAGAGAGAGAGAGAGAGAGAGAGAGAGAGAGAGAGAGAGAGAGAGAGAGAGUUUGAGAAGUGCUCUGGACUUCCUGGUACGGGACCAUGGACGCUUCGUGCUCCACUUUACCCGGAGAACUACCUGCAGCGAUGUGAUCGAGCCAAAGGGACCGAGUGGAGAGCAAAGGGGGCGACUCCUCUGGUUGUCACCCUCGAACGUUAACCCUUUCACAGUCAUGAGUGCCUCUCGGAGAGACCCAGUGGAGAAUAACCUCACCUGUCCAAAGCCCCGCCCUACCUGGGCCUCUACCUGCCCCCCACUCCUGGACUCCCAACCAUGAGUAAGUUCCUGAUUAUUGAUCAUUGAUUGUUUUCAACACGUCUCAGACCUUGAGACCCUUUUUGAGUGGCUGAUUUUUGGGCGUAUUUGACUUUCCUCCAAUGCCGGAUCGGUUUCUGGGGUUUGUUG